Molecule: long non-coding RNA, 660 nt
Organism: Mauremys reevesii (Reeves's turtle)
Lineage: Eukaryota; Metazoa; Chordata; Testudines; Geoemydidae
Exons: 2
Source: RefSeq, a predicted model, not a curated record
UCAGAUAUGGGGUGCAUUUGGGUUAAGAGAGGGAAGCUGGAAUGGGGAGAGUUGUGACUAUGGGACCUUCUGGGAUAUAGAGAGCAGCAUCAUUUGAGACAAGCAUUGGAACAGAAGCUGGGCAUGGAUUUCUCUCCUCUUGCCCCUUUAGUCUUGGAGAUAUUUUUAUGGACUAAAUUCCAAAAUGGACCAGCAGAAAUUGUUUUGAGACUAUACCACAAUGUUCCAAACUUAACAAUACUUAGGAAGUUUCUUUGAGAAGCUCAGAUUUUAAAGAAGAUUGAACUCUGCAUCACUCCUAAGUCAAUUAUUAUUUUAUUCAAACCAAAUAUAGCUACACAUUUUUAUGCAUUGUAUUGUCCACCUGCCUCAGAUCUAUAACUCUCUAGGUUAUUUUGGACCGAGAUUUAAAUCUCGUCUCAGUCAGGACAUGGUGUUCCAACUUUCAGUUGUUGGAACAUGACCCUGGGUUUGCUCUUUAUAUUGUCUACUUGAUGUAUAAUUAAAUAUGGAAACGUUUAUAGCUCCUGCAGCUCGGUAUGUAAUUAUUGUUUGCCUAUGUAAAUUGGAUUACUUAAAUUGUCAUUGGUUGUUUUAUACUUCAAUUAAGAGGAGUAUGUAAGGAAGUUUAUAUUAUAAAAGAAAUUGCAUUACCCAUGA